UAGGGAAUAUUGGACAAUGGGCGAAAGCCUGAUCCAGCCAUGCCGCGUGAGUGAUGAAGGCCUUAGGGUUGUAAAGCUCUUUUAGUGGGGAAGAUAAUGACGGUACCCACAGAAAAAGCCCCGGCUAACUUCGUGCCAGCAGCCGCGGUAAUACGAAGGGGGCUAGCGUUGUUCGGAUUUACUGGGCGUAAAGCGCACGUAGGCGGAUCGUUAAGUCGGGGGUGAAAUCCUGGAGCUCAACUCCAGAACUGCCUUCGAUACUGGCGAUCUAGAGUCCGGAAGAGGUGAGUGGAACUCCUAGUGUAGAGGUGGAAUUCGUAGAUAUUAGGAAGAACACCAGUGGCGAAGGCGGCUCACUGGUCCGGUACUGACGCUGAGGUGCGAAAGCGUGGGGAGCAAACA
RNAcentral lists this ribosomal RNA (402 nucleotides) under uncultured prokaryote. Its description in RNAcentral is "bacterial SSU rRNA". It matches the Rfam family "Bacterial small subunit ribosomal RNA", at positions 355 to 774 of the family's 1533-position model. The record is from RNAcentral.